This is a non-coding RNA of Podarcis lilfordi (Lilford's wall lizard), 118 nucleotides long. The record is from the annotation of a GenBank genome assembly. Lineage: Eukaryota; Metazoa; Chordata; Lepidosauria; Squamata; Lacertidae.
CUUCCAGUAGCACCUUAGAGACCAACUAAGUUUGUUAUUGGUAUGAGCUUUCAUGUGGAUGCACACAAAAGCUCAUACUAAUAACAAACUUAGUUGGUCUCUAAGGUGCUACUGGAAG